Molecule: ribosomal RNA, 335 nt
Filed under: uncultured bacterium
Lineage: Bacteria
Description: bacterial SSU rRNA
Rfam family: Bacterial small subunit ribosomal RNA
Source: RNAcentral
GACGAACGCUGGCGGCGUGCCUAACACAUGCAAGUCGAACGGAGACUAACGCUGAAUUGAUGGUAGCUUGCUAUUGGAUUUUCUUGUUAGUCUUAGUGGCGGACGGGUGAGUAACACGUGAGCAACCUGCCUUUCAGAGGGGGAUAACAGCCGGAAACGGCUGCUAAUACCGCAUAAUGCAUUGGAUUCGCAUGUUUCUGAUGCCAAAGAUUUUAUCGCUGAAAGAUGAGCUCGCGUCUGAUUAGCUAGUUGGCGGGGUAACGGCCCACCAAGGCGACGAUCAGUAGCCGGACUGAGAGGUUGAACGGCCACAUUGGGACUGAGACACGGCCCAG